This 920-nucleotide long non-coding RNA is filed under the name Jatropha curcas. Its description in RNAcentral is "long non-coding RNA (JCUR_LNC003075)". The record is from RNAcentral. Lineage: Eukaryota; Viridiplantae; Streptophyta; Magnoliopsida; Malpighiales; Euphorbiaceae.
UUCACUUUAUGGACUGUAAUCUCUUAUAAAUUCUCACUUCUACCCUUUCAAUUCAAAUCUUUGCAAUAAGCCUCUCCGCCUCGACUUAGUUCUUCAACUUCCUUAUUAGUUCUCUCUUGUUUUGAUAAAUAUUUUUUAAAUAGCACUCUCUCCGCUUCUCUUCAUCCUCACUCAUGGUUGUCUUCAAGCUCGAUUCGUGUCUGUCUUCUACAGUUGGUGGUCAGUUUUCCAUUUACUCCCUUUAUAUAUAACUUUUGUAGAAUUACUCUAUAAUAACUUUUGUAAUUAUUAUUAUUUUUAAUAUAUUCACAAAUUAAUAAUAAAAAAUUUUAUUAUACAGUUGGUUCAAAUUCAGACCGAAGAGUGUGCGAUACCAAAUCAGAUCGAUUUGAUUUAUUUUGAUUUUUCUGAACCAAAUAAUCUAUUUUGAAUGUAAAAAUCGUUCCUUAUCACUAUUAAAAUUGCAUGGUAAUUGAACUCUUAAAAUCUUGAUCGAACCAAACCGAAAUGAAUUCACUAUGAUAAAUUUCUCCAUUUAAUUUCUCAAAUAUGAGUGUACUUUGAUUAUCAAGCUUCAAAUUUCAAUUGAUGAAGGAUUUUAAUUAUUUGAGAAGUCUUUAUUGUUUAAUUAUAUAUUAAAAUUCAUAUUUAGUUUAUGAGUUCCAAUUAAUUGACUUAAUAUUAUUAGAGUUGUAUCUUAAUUUAAUUUUCGUAUUCUAUUUGAAUUACGAAUCCUGUAAGAAAGUGUUAAAAUUUUUAUAACAUCCCUCCUAAAAAGCCAAUGAUAAAUAUAAAUCGACUAUAUAAUAUGAUAAACGAAUAAAAAUUUGUCGAGUGAAAGACCUAAAACUCUCCUGUAGUGACUCUGCCCUCCUACGGUUAGAGAAGCAGACAUGGUUACCUCAUUUGGUUUUGUAAAC